GAAUUGCUUAGAAUUGACUCAACACUGCCUCCUUGCUGAAUGGAUAAUUCAAGCAAACAACUCAAGAGCUGGAUGCUGCCCAGACAGAAGUCCUCCUAGCAUCUUUCUUCUGCCUUCCCCUGCUCCUGUCCCUGAAACCUUUUCUUCAAAAGAAGUGGAAAAGAGGAACUGGGAACCCAUAUAGCAACAGCAUCACCUGGAAUGAAUUCCUUUAGAACAUACUGUCUUGGAAAUCUGAAGCCUGCAGGGCUGGACAGGCAAGAAGAGCAGUGAGCACUGCAUGAACCUCACCCUUGAACUUCUAUAUGGUCUCUAAAGACAUGAUAAAUACAGAGAUUGCUCUCUCCUCUCAACUGCAACAGUAAUGAUUCCUUUGCAUUUUAAUUAAGUCUUUUACACAUGAAUAAGUCUUGUAUCCUCAAAUGGACUAAAGACUCCUCGAGGACAAGAACUAUCCUUCAGUCCCAUACAUUGGUUACCUGGCAAAGGACCCUAAAUGCAGAUUAUGAAGUAGCUAUGGAAUUUGAAUGGGUUGAUUCUUCAGCUCCCAGAAAAAAACUUUGAUUGGUUUAACUGGCCACAGUAAUUGAUGUGGGAAUGAGGCCCUGACAUAAUUUCAACUUAGAAGACAUGUUCACUGGAAGUGAACUAGGAAGCAUGAAGUCUCAGACAUUCAACACUGAAAGAAUAAGCAGUCUUAGGAUGAAGGCAGUGCUAUGGACACCAGAACUCCAUGGUUCAGGCUGUUCAGCAUCAACUGUUCCUGACAGCCACCCUAACGUGCCUCCAGUUUCCUGGGCCAACAGAUGCCUGUCAUUGUUGAAGUUUCUUUGAGUUGGGUCUUCCGUUACUUACAAUUUAAAUCACCCUCACUGAUUACUAUGUACUUAAUUGUUCUCCUCCACUCUCCGCCAAUCCAUAUGCUGAAGCCUUAACCCCCAACGUGAUAGUAUUUGGAGACUGGAACUUUGGGAGAUAAUUAGAUUUAGAUGUGGUCAUGAGGAUGGGACCUUCAAGAUGGGAAUAGUAUCCUUAUAAAAAGUGGUACUAGAAAGCCUCUCUUUCUCUCUCUCUGCCACGUAAGAACACAGCAAGAAGGCAGCCAUCUGCAAGCCAGGAAGAGAGCCCUUACCAGAACUUGACCAUGCUGACACCCUGAUCUCAGAUGUCCAGCCUCCAGAACUGCAAAAAAGACACAUUUUCAUUGUUUAAGCUACCUAGUUUAUGGUAUUUUGUUACAGCAGCCCAAUCUGACUAAUACGCUGAUACAGGCAUAUUAGGGUACAUGCCACCAGCAGAGUGGUUCAACUGCAGGUCCACACUUACCCAGUGAAGGUGACUCAGCCUAGAGUGUGACUCAGUCUCUUCCCAACCCUGUCCGCAUCACCCCUGGAAGAGUCAGCUCCUCCCACAACUGCAGUCCUGACAGCAGCAUCAUGCCUCUGAAAUGAUCUUGCAAACAAGCUGUCAUUGGAGUGCUGAGAGAGUGGCAAUAUCAACUAAAAACAUGAAGAAGAAGAGCAACAAAGAGGAGGAAGAGGAGGAGAAGAGGGAAAGAAGUGAGGCGCUGUGGUGAAGAGUAGUACUUCUCAUCUCCACCAGAACAGCAGAGAACAAUGAAAGCACACCAUCAGGAC
RNAcentral lists this long non-coding RNA (1637 nucleotides) under Pan troglodytes (chimpanzee). RNAcentral describes it as "lincRNA". Lineage: Eukaryota; Metazoa; Chordata; Mammalia; Primates; Hominidae. The record is from RNAcentral.